CUACGUGCCAGCAGCCGCGGUAAUACGGAAGGUCCAGGCGUUAUCCGGAUUUAUUGGGUUUAAAGGGAGCGUAGGCUGGAGAUUAAGUGUGUUGUGAAAUGUAGACGCUCAACGUCUGAAUUGCAGCGCAUACUGGUUUCCUUGAGUACGCACAACGUUGGCGGAAUUCGUCGUGUAGCGGUGAAAUGCUUAGAUAUGACGAAGAACUCCGAUUGCGAAGGCAGCUGACGGGAGCGCAACUGACGCUUAAGCUCGAAGGUGCGGGUAUCAAACAGGAUUAGAUACCCUGGUAGUCCGCACAGUAAACGAUGGAUGCCCGCUGUUGGUACCUGGUAUCAGCGGCUAAGCGAAAGCAUUAAGCAUCCCACCUGGGGAGUACGCCGGUAACGGUGAAACUCAAAGGAAUUGACGGGGGCCCGCACAAGCGGAGGAACAUGUGGUUUAAUUCGAUGAUACGCGAGGAACCUUACCCGGGCUUGAA
Molecule: ribosomal RNA, 481 nt
Filed under: uncultured bacterium
Lineage: Bacteria
Description: bacterial SSU rRNA
Rfam family: Bacterial small subunit ribosomal RNA
Source: RNAcentral